AUAUUGUGUUUAUGCAUCAAGAAUGUGCGUGAGCGUUCGGAUUUAUUACGCGACUGUCCUCGUUCGUCCUAUUCCUAAUAAAUAAACUGCGAAUAUCUGUGUUUAUGCAACUUUAUAUCUUCAUAAAGAUAACCAAAGAAAUGGAACCUAAAUGGAAACGCGUUUUACUUACUAAAUAAUACAACAAGCACUUGGCUUUGGAUAUCUUAUAUAGUUUUGCCUGUUAUAUACAUAUAUUUACUAGACUUUUGCACCUCUUAAUUAUCUAUAGAUGCAUAAACACAUCCGCAGUUUACUGAUGAAACUUCACGAACUCUUUCUUCGUUGCAUCGCUUCUGUUAAAAUAUAAAAUAGAAUUAUUUUUCUUUCUAUCUUUAGCCUUUUAUCGUAUUCGACUGUACCGAGCUCUUCGUGUCCCUCUGCUUUUUCAACCUUUCGAAAGAGAAAUAAAGAGGUGCCGUUGCACGAUCGCGCUUCGAUAUUCAAAUUUACGUGUGCAUACGCGUAAAUCUAUAUACAUAGCUUUAUAGACCUCGACGGUUUUGCAGGUGACGCGAUCAGCGAGGAACUAAGGUGAGCAAUAUUUGGCGGUUUGUUGCAAGAAGAACGAUUUUUUCGUUGUUGAUACCGUGAAACAGUGGUGUUAAAUGUUGUGUCGUUGCUAUCUGCAAUGUUAUCGAAGGUGAACGCACGCCGAAAUUUUUAAGUAAAUUCGUGAGAUUAGAUUGAAAACGAAAGUAAUCGUUUGAAACGAAAUCAAGCAUGAAGUGUCAGCGUAGUUGCGAAGUGUUACUACGUAUUAUCCUGAUUAUUCGUGUUCGAAAAUUCGUUACAUCGUCAGGAUGGGUACCUGGUAUUCAAGGUAAUUUCUAUUUGUAUGUUAUACAUCUUUUAUAUUUAAAUCUUCCUCGAUAUAUUCUUCAAAUUUUGAAUUCUAGAAGAACGAACUAUUAAUCAAGCAAUUUCAAAAAGAUUGCCUCUACACUUGGGCACCGAUAGCGUAAUCGGCAUAACCACGAGCGGAGAAACAAAUGGAAACUCCAGCGCCAACGAAACCCGGCGAAAAUAAGGUCCGCUGAGCACGGAUGAAUCGAUCGUGAGAAACACGCUUCCGGUGGCUACCUUGGUGCGUACAUAUGUACUUAACGCUAGAACUAGAUCCUGAACACAUCGUUCUCUAAGUGACGUCGUGCUAUUAAGCGCAUCUUAUUAUCAUCGACGGAGUCUAAGGUACUCGGCCUCCUCGAAUCUACUGCAAAACGAGGCUGCGUUCUCGAUUCCCAUAUAUAUAAUACGGAUAUAUCUGUCGAGACAUACGGAAUAAUAGGGGUAGUGUUGUAUUUCUUAUGCGUGGCUUAAAUUUUAGUAAGUCCAUGUCUUACACAAAAAAUCACGUUUGGCGAAAGCUACACGAGUUCCCUUAAAUAAAUUAUCGUUUACGCUUUCGUUCGGAAUAUAUAAAAUAUAUUAUGUAUGAUAAUAUAUCGUAUAUAUCAUAACCGUGUACACUAAGUUAUCGACUAUCCCUAUAUUGCGUGUAUAUUAUAUUAAAUCGAGACAAAAGAUCCGCGUUUUAUAUUCGUCCGAAGGUUCAGGCGUUCGAUUCGUGCUUCUUUUCUACGGAUUAUAUAGUCACGUUCACUGAAUAAGCCACGGGCGCGGUUCGAACCAGGAACAAUCUUUGGCUCGCUUUAUUAUGCGACAACUGAGGGGUCACGUUUAUAACGAGUGUCCGAUUCGUCUUGGAACAGGGGCGGGGGAGGUUGUCUAAAAAUGGUCUGCCGUGGUGGUCAUUGCGAUAUUAUUUUUCGCCCUUCAACCAUACAGUCUGAACUAUUUACACUAUUUCUUCAAACGACAAAUAAAUAUUCGUUGAACCGAAAUGUUCUGAUAUUGCAGGUAGAGAAACACCGGUGCCAAGUACAAUAUAAUCACGGGAUUAACCAUUACUUGAAAUUGCGUCGGAUAAGCGUUCGCUCGUCUAUCUUCUUCGUCAUCCUCUUCAUCUAAUUUCCUCCUCUCCCUCUUUGUUUCUCUUUUUCUCUUUUUGCUUAUACUAAGGCAACUAACGAACAGUUAAAAAAUUGUCAAGGCUCUUGCUGGAAGGAUUAUAAAACGCGACGCGUCCAGGAUGUCCUUCAUCCAUCGUCAUAACGUCCAUAUCGUCAUCUCGAUCAACAACAUUUCACCGACAACCGUAACGCGCCACUUCAUAUAACACGAACGACACCAGCUCGGAACGAGAGUCUCGUCCUUAAAACACAGCAGAAUUGGUGAUCGCUAGUUUCUGACGUUGCGAGUUUUGCUGUCUCUGCUGUUCUCUAUCUCUCUCUCCCUUUCUCUCCCUCUCUCUUAUAC
This is a long non-coding RNA of Bombus pascuorum, 2358 nucleotides long. RefSeq lists it as uncharacterized. The transcript has 2 exons. NCBI's taxonomy places the organism in Eukaryota, Metazoa, Arthropoda, Insecta, Hymenoptera, Apidae. The record is from RefSeq and is a predicted model, not a curated record.